UGGCGGACGGGUGAGUAAUGUCUGGGAAACUGCCUGAUGGAGGGGGAUAACUACUGGAAACGGUAGCUAAUACCGCAUAACGUCGCAAGACCAAAGAGGGGGACCUUCGGGCCUCUUGCCAUCAGAUGUGCCCAGAUGGGAUUAGCUAGUAGGUGGGGUAACGGCUCACCUAGGCGACGAUCCCUAGCUGGUCUGAGAGGAUGACCAGCCACACUGGAACUGAGACACGGUCCAGACUCCUACGGGAGGCAGCAGUGGGGAAUAUUGCACAAUGGGCGCAAGCCUGAUGCAGCCAUGCCGCGUGUAUGAAGAAGGCCUUCGUGUUGCCCCCGCACUUUCAGCGGGGAGGAAGGGAGUAAAGUUAAUACCUUUGCUCAUUGACGUUACCCGCAGAAGAAGCACCGGCUAACUCCGUGCCAGCAGCCGCGGUAAUACGGAGGGUGCAAGCGUUAAUCGGAAUUACUGGGCGUAAAGCGCACGCAGGCGGUUUGUUAAGUCAGAUGUGAAAUCCCCGGGCUCAACCUGGGAACUGCAUCUGAUACUGGCAAGCUUGAGUCUCGUAGAGGGGGGUAGAAUUCCAGGUGUAGCGGUGAAAUGCGUAGAGAUCUGGAGGAAUACCGGUGGCGAAGGCGGCCCCCUGGACGAAGACUGACGCUCAGGUGCGUAAGCGGGGUCCAAACAGGAUUAGAUACCCUGGUAGUCCACGCCGUAAACGCUUCAACUUGGAGGUUGUGCCCUUGAGGCGUGGCUUCCGGAGUUAACGCGUUAAGUCGACC
Molecule: ribosomal RNA, 776 nt
Filed under: uncultured Enterobacteriaceae bacterium
Lineage: Bacteria; Pseudomonadati; Pseudomonadota; Gammaproteobacteria; Enterobacterales; Enterobacteriaceae
Description: bacterial SSU rRNA
Rfam family: Bacterial small subunit ribosomal RNA
Source: RNAcentral